AACGCACAUUGCGCUCCCUGGUAUUCCGGGGAGCAUGCCUGUUCGAGCGUCAUUACAACCCUCACGCCCAGCGUGGUGUUGGGCUUGCCCUGUAGGGCCUGCCUCAAAAUCAGUGGCGGCACUAUCUGGUACCCUAAGCGUAGUAAUACUUGUCGCUUCUGGGCUCUAGGCAGCGGCCUGCCAGCAGCCCCCCCCCUAAAUUUUCUAGGUUGACCUCGGAUCAGGUAGGGAUACCCGCUGAACUUAA
This 247-nucleotide unclassified non-coding RNA is filed under the name Oomyces sp. Its description in RNAcentral is "partial contains 5.8S ribosomal RNA, internal transcribed spacer 2, and large subunit ribosomal RNA". The stretch from base 1 to 52 matches the Rfam family "5.8S ribosomal RNA", at positions 103 to 154 of the family's 154-position model. The record is from RNAcentral. Lineage: Eukaryota; Fungi; Ascomycota; Dothideomycetes; Acrospermales; Acrospermaceae. RNAcentral also lists the same sequence under 1 other name.